UGGGCGGAAAUUAGUAAGACUACUGUCCAUCAUGCGGCCGACAAGUUUCUCCCAUUUGUAAUCCUUGUCCUAAGAUUUUCUGAUUAGUCUCUCUUUUUAAGAGGAUCUAAAGUUUCUGAUUUUUGUGAUCUCUUAAUUCACUUUUAUUUUUAUUUUUUGGUACAAAAAGAGGGAAAAUUAGAAACAACGAGUCUUGAGCCCGAGUGGUCCGUAGGGGAAUCUUUUUAUUAUUAUUGUGAAUAUUUUCUCUUAUCUUCUUUUUCCUGUUUAUUUUUUGUAUUUUAUUUUUAUUAUUUUGGUUCCUCCCUCCCUCCCUCAUUGCCUCACGAACUGCGAAACAAAAAUUUGACCGAUCGGAAGAAGGAGAAAAAAAAUGGUGAAGGAGACACAGUAUUACGAUGUUCUUGGAGUGAGCCCAACGGCUACCGAGGCCGAUAUCAAGAAAGCUUAUUACAUGAAGGCAAUGCAGGUUCAUCCGGAUAAAAACCCAAAUGAUCCUCUUGCAGCACAGAAUUUUCAGGUGGACAGUCAUUAUCUUUGGUUCUAGGUCUGUAUUCAGAAGUAGAAUGUGUGUGAUUUGUGGAGGAAACCCGACCAUUAGCUGGUUCCUCUGCAGGUGCCAUUGUCUGUGCUGUGAUUGCCUCUGGAGCCAGCAUGGAAGAGGCCUUACAAGCUACCAAAAUACUGGCUGAAGAUUGCCGGAACAGAGGGACUGCAUUUCGACUUGGGCUAUAUGUCAGAAGCUCAUCCUGAUUAAUUGACCUAUGGGCCUAACCAGGGUUAUGGGGGUUGAUCCGUCCCACAGUAUAGGAUUGCAUCGUAGAUUGAACCAAAACUACAAUAUGGAAAGAACGUGCUGGUUGCUGCCCAUGGGAAUUCGUUAAGUAUAGAGUUAGACGGGACACGUACACCCAAAUGGAAUUGGAUGAGGUGCGAGAAGAACUGGCGACUCAUGUCCUAUAACGGCUUUUUGAUUCAACUAAACAUUCCUCCAUUUUUCAUGUCUUUCUAGCUAGUAUUUUGCAUAUAUAUAUAGACAAGUAUGAAUAAUUUGUGGUGUGACGUUGGAAAAAUUGUAAUUUGGGUGUGAUAAGUAUGGAUCUUUCAAGUAUUUUGCGCAUA
Prunus avium (sweet cherry) is the source of this 1122-nucleotide non-coding RNA. The record is from RefSeq and is a predicted model, not a curated record. NCBI's taxonomy places the organism in Eukaryota, Viridiplantae, Streptophyta, Magnoliopsida, Rosales, Rosaceae.